AUCCUGUACAAAGAAGCUUCAGUAGCUCCUCAUCACACUUUGAGACUUAAAGCUCCAACAUGAUCUUGCUCCUCUUCUUGUUCGGUCUGGCUCUGGGUGCUCCUUCUGAGUCUCCUUCUGAUGGCAGUGACGUGAAGCUACAGCUUGGAAUGGAGUCCGCUGUGCAGGUCACCAAAUACUACUGACACAAGCCUGCCACAGCAGUCACAUGUCUCUGGGUCCAGUACUAAGUGAGGAUCCUCUUGAUUGUGUGGAGUUCAUUCUGUCUUUGUUUAAUGGAGCAACUCAGGAGUUUUCACCUGUUAGAGCUCUGACCUGUCCUGUUUGAUUAGUCAUUGUGCUGAUAAAGCCUUUAUGGUACAAUAAAUAUAAAUUAUACAUCAAA
Molecule: long non-coding RNA, 385 nt
Organism: Oreochromis aureus
Lineage: Eukaryota; Metazoa; Chordata; Actinopteri; Cichliformes; Cichlidae
Source: Ensembl